RNAcentral lists this ribosomal RNA (902 nucleotides) under uncultured bacterium. RNAcentral describes it as "bacterial SSU rRNA". It matches the Rfam family "Bacterial small subunit ribosomal RNA", at positions 8 to 916 of the family's 1533-position model. The record is from RNAcentral.
AGAGUUUGAUCCUGGCUCAGGAUUAACGCUGGCGGCGUGCAUAACACAUGCAAGUCGAACGAUGAAACUUUAAUGAACCCUUCGGGGAGAAUUAAAGCGGAUUAGUGGCGAACGGGUGAGUAACGCGUGAGUAACCUGCCUUACACAAGGGGAUAGCCUUUGGAAACGAAGAAUAAUACCCUAUAAAACCAUAAAAGCACAUGCAAUUAUGGUCAAAGUAUUAGCGGUGUAAGAUGGACUUGCGUCUGAUUAGCUAGUUGGUGAGAUAAAAGCCCACCAAGGCAACGAUCAGUAGCCGGCUUGAGAGAGUGUACGGCCACAUUGGGACUGAGACACGGCCCAGACUCCUACGGGAGGCAGCAGUGGGGAAUUUUGCACAAUGGGGGAAACCCUGAUGCAGCGACGCCGCGUGAUUUAGAAGGCCUUCGGGUUGUAAAAAUCUUUUGUAUAGGAAGAAAAUGACAGUACUAUACGAAUAAGGUCCGGCUAAUUACGUGCCAGCAGCCGCGGUAAUACGUAAGGACCGAGCGUUGUCCGGAAUCAUUGGGCGUAAAGGGUACGUAGGCGGCUAGAAAAGUUAAAAGUCAAAGGCUAUAGCUCAACUAUAGUAAGCUUCUAAAACUAUUUAGCUUGAGAGAUGGAAGGGAAAGUGGAAUUCCUAGUGUAGCGGUGGAAUGCGCAGAUAUUAGGAGGAAUACCGGUGGCGAAGGCGACUUUCUGGCCAUUUUCUGACGCUGAGGUACGAAAGCGUGGGUAGCAAACAGGAUUAGAUACCCUGGUAGUCCACGCCGUAAACGAUGAGUGUUAGGUGUCUGGAGUCAAAUCUGGGUGCCGCAGCAAACGCAUUAAACACUCCGCCUGGGGAGUACGCACGCAAGUGUGAAACUCAAAGGAAUUGACGG